UCAGGAUGAACGCUGGCGGUAUGCUUAACACAUGCAAGUCGAACGGUGUCUUCGGACACAGUGGCGGACGGGUGAGUAACGCGUGAGAAUCUGGCUUUAGGUCUGGGACAACCACUGGAAACGGUGGCUAAUACCGGAUGUGCCCGUAAUUGGGUGAAAGGUUAACUGCCUGAAGAUGAGCUCGCGUCUGAUUAGCUAGUUGGAAGUGUAAUGGACUCCCAAGGCGACGAUCAGUAGCUGGUCUGAGAGGACGAUCAGCCACACUGGGACUGAGACACGGCCCAGACUCCUACGGGAGGCAGCAGUGGGGAAUUUUCCGCAAUGGGCGAAAGCCUGACGGAGCAAUACCGCGUGAGGGAGGAAGGCUCUUGGGUCGUAAACCUCUUUUCUCAGGGAAGAACACAAUGACGGUACCUGAGGAAUAAGCAUCGGCUAACUCCGUGCCAGCAGCCGCGGUAAUACGGAGGAUGCAAGCGUUAUCCGGAAUGAUUGGGCGUAAAGCGUCCGCAGGUGGCAAUGUAAGUCUGCUGUUAAAGAGUCUAGCUCAACUAGAUAAGAGCAGUGGAAACUACAUAGCUAGAGUACGUUCGGGGCAGAGGGAAUUCCUGGUGUAGCGGUGAAAUGCGUAGAGAUCAGGAAGAACACCAGUGGCGAAGGCGCUCUGCUAGGCCGUAACUGACACUGAGGGACGAAAGCUAGGGGAGCGAAUGGGAUUAGAUACCCCAGUAGUCCUAGCCGUAAACGAUGGAUACUAGGCGUGGCUUGUAUCGACCCGAGCCGUGCCGUAGCUAACGCGUUAAGUAUCCCGCCUGGGGAGUACGCCGGCAACGGUGAAACUCAAAGGAAUUGACGGGGGCCCGCACAAGCGGUGGAGUAUGUGGUUUAAUUCGAUGCAACGCGAAGAACCUUACCAAGGCUUGACAUGUCGCGAAUCUUCUCGAAAGGGAAGAGUGCCUUCGGGAGCGCGAACACAGGUGGUGCAUGGCUGUCGUCAGCUCGUGUCGUGAGAUGUUGGGUUAAGUCCCGCAACGAGCGCAACCCUCGUUUUUAGUUGCCAGCAUUAAGUUGGGCACUCUAGAGAGACUGCCGGUGACAAACCGGAGGAAGGUGGGGAUGACGUCAAGUCAGCAUGCCCCUUACGCCUUGGGCUACACACGUACUACAAUGCUCCGGACAGAGGGCAGCAAGCAUGCGAAUGCAAGCAAAUCCCGUAAACCGGAGCUCAGUUCAGAUCGCAGGCUGCAACUCGCCUGCGUGAAGGAGGAAUCGCUAGUAAUUGCAGGUCAGCAUACUGCAGUGAAUUCGUUCCCGGGCCUUGUACACACCGCCCGUCACACCAUGGAAGCUGGUAGUGCCCGAAGUCAUUACUCCAACCUUUCGGGGAGGAGGAUGCCUAAGGCAGGACUGGUGACUGGGGUGAAGUCGUAACAAGGUAGCCGUACCGGAAGG
This 1449-nucleotide ribosomal RNA is filed under the name Nostoc punctiforme SAG 65.79. Its description in RNAcentral is "bacterial SSU rRNA". It matches the Rfam family "Bacterial small subunit ribosomal RNA". Lineage: Bacteria; Bacillati; Cyanobacteriota; Cyanophyceae; Nostocales; Nostocaceae. The record is from RNAcentral.